AACGAACGCUGGCGGCAGGCCUAACACAUGCAAGUCGAACGAGCUGGGACCUUCGGGUCCCGAUGCUAGUGGCGCACGGGUGAGUAACACGUGGGAAUCUACCCAAUAGUACGGAAUAACUGAGGGAAACUUUGGCUAAUACCGUAUACGCCCUUCGGGGGUAAGAUUUAUCGCUAUUGGAUGAGCCCGCGUCUGAUUAGGUAGUUGGUGAGGUAACGGCUCACCAAGACGACGAUCAGUAGCUGGUCUGAGAGGAUGAUCAGCCACACUGGGACUGAGACACGGCCCAGACUCCUACGGGAGGCAGCAGUGGGGAAUAUUGGACAAUGGGCGCAAGCCUGAUCCAGCCAUGCCGCGUGAGUGAAGAAGGCCUUCGGGUUGUAAAGCUCUUUCGACGGGGACGAUGAUGACGGUACCCGUAUAAGAAGCCCCGGCUAACUUCGUGCCAGCCGCCGCAGUAA
RNAcentral lists this ribosomal RNA (461 nucleotides) under uncultured bacterium. RNAcentral's name for it is "partial 16S ribosomal RNA". It matches the Rfam family "Bacterial small subunit ribosomal RNA", at positions 29 to 523 of the family's 1533-position model. The record is from RNAcentral.